GAUGAACGCUGGUGGCGUGCUUAACACAUGCAAGUCGAACGAAGCAUUUAGGACAGAUUACUUCGGUUUGAAGUUCUUUAUGACUGAGUGGCGGACGGGUGAGUAACGCGUGGGUAACCUGCCUUGUACUGGGGGAUAGCAGCUGGAAACGGCUGGUAAUACCGCAUAAGCGCACAAUGUUGCAUGACAUGGUGUGAAAAACUCCGGUGGUAUAAGAUGGACCCGCGUCUGAUUAGCUAGUUGGUGAGAUAACAGCCCACCAAGGCGACGAUCAGUAGCCGACCUGAGAGGGUGACCGGCCACAUUGGGACUGAGACACGGCCCAGACUCCUACGGGAGUCAGCAGUGGGGAAUAUUGCACAAUGGAGGAAACUCUGAUGCAGCGACGCCGCGUGAGUGAAGAAGUAAUUCGUUAUGUAAAGCUCUAUCAGCAGGGAAGAUAGUGACGGUACCUGACUAAGAAGCUCCGGCUAAAUACGUG
This 481-nucleotide ribosomal RNA is filed under the name uncultured bacterium. RNAcentral's name for it is "partial 16S ribosomal RNA". It matches the Rfam family "Bacterial small subunit ribosomal RNA", at positions 28 to 507 of the family's 1533-position model. The record is from RNAcentral.